Osmerus eperlanus (European smelt) is the source of this 1275-nucleotide RNA transcript. It is a transcript of the gene named putative nuclease HARBI1, with no coding region annotated. The record is from RefSeq and is a predicted model, not a curated record. Lineage: Eukaryota; Metazoa; Chordata; Actinopteri; Osmeriformes; Osmeridae. The transcript has 4 exons.
UAUGAAAGAUACAGGUUUUCUGCAGAUGGCAUCAGGUAUCUAUGCAGACUACUGGGUCCCAGGAUUAAGCACCGCACUGCACGGAGCCAUGCACUGAGUGUGGAGCAAAUGGUUUGUGUGGCCUUGCGCUUUUUUGCUAGUGGAGCCUUCCUGUACUCAGUGGGGGAUGCAGAACAGCUGAACAAGGCCACAAUUUGCCGCACAAUAAGGAGUGUGUGUCUGGCUAUCAAAGCAUUAGCAGAUGUCUUCAUCUCCUUCCCUGGCCACAGAAGACUCUGUGACAUCAAAGAGGAGUUCUAUAGGAUUGCAGGUUUCCCCAAUGUCAUUGGUGCAGUGGACUGCACACACAUAAGGAUAAAAACCCCCCUCAGGUGCCCAUGAGGCCGAUUUUGUGAAUAGGAAAUCCUUUCACAGCAUUAAUGUUCAGAUGGUCUGCAAUGCUGACUGUGUGAUCAGCAAUGUUGUGGCAAAAUGGCCUGGCUCAGUCCAUGACUCCAGAUUCUUUCGGGCCUCUGAAAUCUAUCAGUGCCUAUCACAAGGUGAAUUCUCUGGUGUGUUGCUGGGAGACAGGGGGUAUGGCUGCCAGCCUUUUCUCCUGACACCUUUCACAGACCCCCAGGAAACACAGCAGGCCUACAACCAUGCCCAUGCCAGGACCAGGGCCAGAGUUGAAAUGACCUUUGGCCUCCUGAAGGCACGCUUUCACUGCCUUCACAAAUUAAGGGUCAGCCCUGUUAGGGCAUGUGAUAUUACUGUGGCUUGUGCUGUCCUCCACAAUGUGGCCUGCCUGAGGAAGGAGAGGGCCCCCAGAGUGCCACCAGCCAUGGACUGGGACAAUCCGGCAAUCUUCCCUGAUGACGACAGUGGUCGGCUGCUGAGGGACCAAUAUGUGUUGAAUUAUUUUAGUUAGUAUGUGUGCUUUCAAUUUUGGUUAAAUAUGUCCUGCGGUGGCAGAGGAAUUUGGUUUUUUUUUGGGUUCGUUUUUUUUUACGAAUUUGGCCUCUUAUGAUGUUUGUGCGGUAUACUGUGUGUAAUACAAGGCUGCAGGGAGGCUACUGCAUCCAUUCAUUUGUCUGUUCAGUUGAUGUGUAUGGAUUUGUGCAGACAUGCAGGGUGUGUUAUAUACAGACCUUUGAAUGUGUAUGUAUCAUUGUGUAUAAUAUGCUUGGAUUCUGUGCUUUCCAUCUUGUAGAGUCACUGUGACUUCAGUUUCGAAAGGAGCUGAUGGUUUACCUGCUUUGUUUUGUCCUUAUUCAAUAAAGGAACAUAAUGUUA